GAUGAACGCUGGCGGCGUGCCUAAUACAUGCAAGUCGAGCGAACAGACGAGGAGCUUGCUCCUCUGACGUUAGAGGCGGACGGGUGAGUAACACGUGGAUAACCUAGCUAUAAGACUGGGAUAACUUCGGGAAACCGGAGCUAAUACCGGAUAAUAUAUUGAACCGCAUGGUUCAAUAGUGAAAGACGGUUUUGCUGUCACUUAUAGAUGGAUCCGCGCCGCAUUAGCUAGUUGGUAAGGAAACGGCUUACCAAGGCAACGAUGAGUAGCCGACCUGAGAGGGUGAUCGGCCACACGGGAACUAAGACACGGCCAAGACUCCAACGGGAGGCGGCAGUAGGGAAUCUUCCGCAAAGGGCGAAAGCCUGACGGAGAAACGCCGCGUGAGUGAUGAAGGUCUUCGGAUCUUAAAACUCUGUUAUUAGGGAAGAACAAAUGUGUAGGUAACUAUGCACGUCUUGACGGUACCUAAUCAGAAAGCCACGGCUAACUACGUG
This 497-nucleotide ribosomal RNA is filed under the name uncultured bacterium. RNAcentral's name for it is "partial 16S ribosomal RNA". It matches the Rfam family "Bacterial small subunit ribosomal RNA", at positions 28 to 507 of the family's 1533-position model. The record is from RNAcentral.